RNAcentral lists this long non-coding RNA (1154 nucleotides) under Rattus norvegicus (Norway rat). RNAcentral's name for it is "long non-coding RNA NONRATT011957". Lineage: Eukaryota; Metazoa; Chordata; Mammalia; Rodentia; Muridae. The record is from RNAcentral.
GGGAGAUAAAGGAAGAAACAGAAGGCGCCUGUCCCGGCUCCAGCCAGCUUAACUCUUUGGAGAAGCAGUCCGAAGUCCUAGGAAGGGAGGCUGGGUCUUACCGCGAAGGUCGGUGUCCGUUGAAGAUGGGUGAGAGUUUGCCGAAGCCAAGCACCCUCAGGAAGAGGAAGAGAGUACUUUGCAGGGAUUCGAGCAGCGAUCCGCGAGGUCCGGAGAAGCUAACAGUCUUGAUGGAAAUCUGGGGCAAAGAACUGGGAGCCUCUAGCCAGCCCCCUCCGCGCUGCGCCGCAGUCGGAUCCCGGAGCGCUUCUGCGUAACGUCAGCGCGCCGGGUAAUUUACCUUUCCUGCGCGUCUGUCAAUAUGACUAAUUUCCACCCGGGUCAAAAAGCCUUUCUCCGGCAGUCCAUCUUGGAGCGCUCUCUUAACGCGGUAGACGGGGGUGGUUGUUUUGUUUCCACCCUAGAAAUAAAUACUCUUGGGGCGUCCCUGCCAGGGCAGCCCUGAGACGAGCAGGCGAAUAUACACCAUGUCAAUUAAAAGCAGUUUGCCUUGAACUACGAACUGUGAUUGGGUUUCAACGACAGCGACUUGCUUGCCUUUUUAAUAUACAUUACCUAACUCGUCCUUGAUUCCAAUGCUUUCUUUAGAAACAUUUUUUUCCAAGAAGGAAGUAAUUAUUGCUCCAAUUCUUCUCCUUUGGGUGCAGUUCCCUAAUGAAACAGGACCACAAUUCAGGGUGUGUUUUAAACAUCGGAUAUGAUUGCUAAUCUGGCCAAGACUACAUAUCAUCUAGGCGAUGUUUUACAAUAAUUUUUAAACUGCUUCCGACUUGUGAGUGCGAAGAAGAGGGGAGUUAACCGUUCUCACAGAGGCCUCCAUUGGAAGCUGGUAGUAGCGAAGUCCAACUCACUUUGAGAAGGUGCAGGAAGAAGCUAGCAAUGGCCAAGGAGACUGCAUGAGUGUCUCUCGUUCUUCUUCAGGCUGAAACAAAGGAGGAGGAGACACGAAUACUCAACUCUGGAGAUGCCAGCUAGGUUUCUUAAGCUUUGAAGUCUUUUACUUCACUGACCCAGGGACCAAUGUGUAACUGGAACUGAAAAGUCCCCAACAGUAAGAACACAACUAAUAAAAUUUAAAAAUUUGUAUGGGGGGA